UCCGGCUUGUCACCGGCAGUUUCUUCAGAGUGCCCGGCUCUACCCGGUGGCAACUGAAGAUGAGGGUUGCGCUCGUUGCGGGACUUAACCCAACAUCUCACGACACGAGCUGACGACAGCCAUGCAGCUCCCCUUUCGAGGUCAUUGCCGUUUCCGGUUCUUACAACUGGCAUGUCAAGCCUGGGUAAGGUUCUUCGCGUUGCGUCGAAUUAAACCACAUGCACCACCGCUUGUGCGGGCCCCCGUCAAUUCCUUUGAGUUUCAACCUUGCGGUCGUACUCCCCAGGCGGGGUACUUCCUGCGUUAACGCCGGCACCCAGAGGGUCGCUCCCCCAGGCACCUAGUACCCAUCGUUUACGGCGUGGACUAC
Molecule: unclassified non-coding RNA, 370 nt
Filed under: uncultured bacterium
Lineage: Bacteria
Description: contains 16S-23S intergenic spacer region
Source: RNAcentral